UACAGAGGUCCCGAGCGUUGUUCGGAUUCACUGGGCGUAAAGGGUGCGUAGGUGGUGAGGUAAGUCGGAUGUGAAAGCUCCAAGCUCAACUUGGAAACAGCAUUGGAAACUACCUUGCUAGAGGGUUUGAGGGGGGACUGGAAUACUUGGUGUAGCAGUGAAAUGCGUAGAUAUCAAGUGGAACACCAGUGGCGAAGGCGAGUCCCUGGACAAUACCUGACACUGAGGCACGAAAGCUAGGGGAGCAAACAGG
Molecule: ribosomal RNA, 253 nt
Filed under: uncultured bacterium
Lineage: Bacteria
Description: partial 16S ribosomal RNA
Rfam family: Bacterial small subunit ribosomal RNA
Source: RNAcentral